GCUCAUUAAGUGAAGCCGCGAAUAGCUCAUUACAAUAGCCGUUGUUUCUUGGAUCCUCAAUUUACUUGGAUACCUGUGGUAAUUCUAGAGCUAAUACAUGCGACUAAGGGCCGAACUCACGUGACGCUUGCAUUUAUUAGAUCAAGACUAACCGGCUUCGGCCGUUAACUUGGUGACUCUGAAUAACUCAGCUGAUCGCACGGUCUAGUGCCGGCGACAUAUCUUUCAAGUGUCUACCUUAUCAACUGUCGAUGGUAGUUUAUGUGACUACCAUGGUUGUAACGGGUAACGGAGAAUCAGGGUUUGACUCCGGAGAGGGAGCCUGAGAAACGGCUACCACUUCUAAGGAAGGCAGCAGGCGCGCAAAUUACACAAUCUCAGCACGAGGAUGUAGUGACGAAACAUACCGAGGCGAUGCCCUUUCGGGUGUCGUCAUUGGAAUGAGUCGAAUCUAAAAAAUUCGGCAAGGAUCUAGUGGAGGGCAAGUCUGGUGCCAGCAGCCGCGGUAAUUCCAGCUCCGCAAGUGUAUAUCUAUGCUGUUGCGGUUAAAAAGCUCGUAGUUUGAUUCGCGUACUUAGCACGCAGUGUGGCCUUUCGGCUACUACUGUGAUGCGGUACAUUAUCGUCAGUUUGUCGUUGAUGCUCUUCAUUGGGUGUCAGCGGCGGCUGUCAAGUUUACUUUGAACAAAUUAAAGUGCUCAAUACAGGCGUUUCGCUUGUAUAGUUCUGCAUGGAAUAAUAGAAUAGGACUUACGUUCUAUUGUGUUGGUUUUCAGAACGAAAGUAAUGAUUAAGAGGGACAGACGGGGUCAUUCGUACUGCCACGUUAGAGGUGAAAUUCUUGGAUCGUGGCAAGACGAACUACUGCGAAAGCAUUGACAAGAAUG
This 887-nucleotide ribosomal RNA is filed under the name Halomonhystera sp. gd1. RNAcentral's name for it is "SSU rRNA". It matches the Rfam family "Eukaryotic small subunit ribosomal RNA", at positions 72 to 966 of the family's 1831-position model. Lineage: Eukaryota; Metazoa; Nematoda; Chromadorea; Monhysterida; Monhysteridae. The record is from RNAcentral.